This 254-nucleotide ribosomal RNA is filed under the name uncultured bacterium. RNAcentral's name for it is "partial small subunit ribosomal RNA". It matches the Rfam family "Bacterial small subunit ribosomal RNA", at positions 26 to 285 of the family's 1533-position model. The record is from RNAcentral.
AGGGCGAACGCUGGCGGCGUGCUUAACACAUGCAAGUCGAGCGGAAAGGCCCUUCGGGGUACUCGAGCGGCGAACGGGUGAGUAACACGUGAGCAACCUGCCCUUAGCUUCGGGAUAGCUCCGGGAAACCGGAAUUAAAUACCGAAUAUGACUGCGGCUGACAUCAGCCACAGUGGAAAGUUUUUCGGCUAGGGAUGGACUCGCGGCCUAUCAGCUAGUUGGUGAGGUAACGGCCACCAAGGCGACGACGGGUA